Molecule: ribosomal RNA, 397 nt
Filed under: uncultured bacterium
Lineage: Bacteria
Description: bacterial SSU rRNA
Rfam family: Bacterial small subunit ribosomal RNA
Source: RNAcentral
GGAAUAUUGGACAAUGGGCGCAAGCCUGAUCCAGCCAUGCCGCGUGAGUGAAGAAGGCCUUCGGGUCGUAAAGCUCUUUCACCGGUGAAGAUAAUGACGGUAACCGGAGAAGAAGCCCCGGCUAACUUCGUGCAAGCAGCCGCGGUAAUACGAAGGGGGCUAGCGUUGUUCGGAAUUACUGGGCGUAAAGCGCACGUAGGCGGAUCGGUCAGUUAGGGGUGAAAUCCCGGGGCUCAACCCCGGAACUGCCUUUAAUACUGCUGAUCUGGAGUCCGAGAGAGGUGAGUGGAAUUCCGAGUGUAGAGGUGAAAUUCGUAGAUAUUCGGAGGAACACCAGUGGCGAAGGCGGCUCACUGGCUCGGUACUGACGCUGAGGUGCGAAAGCGUGGGGAGCAAA